UACAGAGGGUGCGAGCGUUAAUCGGAAUUACUGGGCGUAAAGGGUGCGUAGGUGGUUUAGUAAGUUAGAUGUGAAAUUCCUGGGCUUAACCUGGGGACUGCGUCUGAUACUGCGAGGCUAGAGUACUGUAGAGGGAAGUGGAAUUUCCGGUGUAGCAGUGAAAUGCGUAGAUAUCGGAAGGAACACCUGUGGCGAAGGCGGCCCCCUGGCCGGCCCUGACGCUGAGACGCGAAAGCGCGGGGAGCGAACGGG
This 252-nucleotide ribosomal RNA is filed under the name uncultured bacterium. RNAcentral describes it as "partial 16S ribosomal RNA". It matches the Rfam family "Bacterial small subunit ribosomal RNA", at positions 524 to 776 of the family's 1533-position model. The record is from RNAcentral.